Danaus plexippus (monarch butterfly) is the source of this 599-nucleotide long non-coding RNA. RefSeq lists it as uncharacterized. The record is from RefSeq and is a predicted model, not a curated record. The transcript has 3 exons. NCBI's taxonomy places the organism in Eukaryota, Metazoa, Arthropoda, Insecta, Lepidoptera, Nymphalidae.
GAGCUAUAGUGUAUCGAUCCGAAUAUCAUUAGAGAUGUAUAAGGGUGUAAAAUACAUGCGACGAAUUAUUAAAGUAUAUCCACAUUAAUUGAAUCCAGAGGCUAUGUUUGUGUCUGAUAUAUACUGAUGCAAGAAUAAAAAACUGAUUACGAGAUAAUUAUGGAGGAAUGAUAUGCCAUAACGGCACUCACUCGUCUUAAAUCUUUUAAGAUGUGAUGCAACAAUUCUUGUACAACAGAGGAGUUGUUAUUAAUUUUUGUUUGAGAAUCAUCCAACAAAAAACUUCAUGAAAGAAUUUAAUUAGGAAACGAAUAGAGAAUAUGGGAAAUAAUAAAAAAGAAAGCGCGGAUUUUUUUUUUGUUACAAUUUUUACUCUUAAAAAGAAUUCUAAAAUAGCUCAACAAAUAUAGACUACAGUCGAUAUAUGUUACUUAAUAUUGUUGGCCAAACAUUGGACGAGAAACUUUAGUAACCAAAUAAAUAUCUAUAUUAAAUAAGAGAGACAUAUUAUUUUAAAUAUUUCACUUAAUUUGUAAAUAUAUUUUUUCAUAAUACUUAUUUCUGCACUGACUAGUUUGUAUAAAAUUUCAAAUACAUUU